UCACUGUCAUCAGACAUGUAUCUUCAUUCAAAUCGUACCCAACUCAACAGUUCUCUCAAUGCCCAUGACUGAAGAGCCACUUUCCCUCAGAGAAUUUGUAUCUGCAUUAUUCUCCUUAUUCAAAGCCCUAAGCUCUGGAACGGGCUCCAGUAAUUCUCCGGUUUCCGUGCAUACAGCUAGGCGGUUGCCCUCCAGCCUUUGGCUAGAUGGAGUCUAUAAAUGGAAUUCUCUUAAUCUUUCGCAAGGCCCUUAAUCAUUCGUACACUCUCUGCCUAAUUCUCCGUCCUGAUGGAGCCCCGUCCUGAUGAAGCAGGGUGACAGCAAGGGUGACCCAACGAUGCAUGAACACCUAACACCCAGCUCCUUCCAACUGUGCCCAUUCCUCCUCCAGACGCCCCUGUGGGAGAAGGGGCGUUCUAGGGACUCCUUUUCAUUUCUACUGCUGACGCCCUGUCCCCCACCAGAUGUCUACCAGCUGGAAAAGAGGGGUGGCAGCUGUUUCCUUUGUAAACAAUUGCAACAUGAACAUCAUUGUCCACAAGCUGGCUCGGGAGACUGUCAGUGCCCUCGGGUCGAGGACACGGUUCCACUCCUCUGCCGACGUCGAGGGCAGGCUGGGGAACUGACUUCGAUCUAGCAGCUUAGGCUGUCCCUUCCCUCCACGAUCCCACAAGAAGAGCACCUACCCCCUUCUGCGGGCAGAAGACGGACUCGGUGACCUCUCUCGGUCUCCUCCAGCCACAGGAUUCCACUGGGCUAUUAUUAGAAUCAUCUGGACAGAGCUGCAGUGUGACAUCAGGCGUCUGGGUGUGCAAAACUGAAUGGAAAUGUUUAUGGGUGCUCUGGCACACGAAACCGCCUCUGAUGGCCCUUCUGGUGUCACUCAACUUUAUACUGGGGCUAUUUCCCUGAGCCUUUCUUUCCGGUUCCACUGACACGAAAUCAGGAAGCCUCAUUCCCACCAGUACCCACCACCCCUGGGCCUGGUGUGUGGAGCAUGGAGGCUGAAUAUCAAGUAUUAUCCACAUUGGCAGCUGUCCCUAGGUGGCCUGGAGGCAGUCAGCCUGUAUACUGUCAAGGAAGCACCGUCCUGGUUCUGAGCAAGGGCCUCUGCAAGACCCAAGAUCACUCAGAUCCUUGCACCACCACACAUAGAGCCACGCCAGUGGCUGUCGUCAAGGUCCAGUUUCUUGGAGGCCACAUGGAAAGGCUGCAGCCCAGAUGAUUGAAGUGUCCCACAAUCAGAAAGUAGGGAAGGGUGAGAUGCCUUAAGGAGGUUGCCUCCAACCGGGUUUGCUUCUUUGAAAGACUGGCCAAGAAAUUACAAGUGAUAGACGAUUUGUAUUUCUCUGGUAUUUGAGGAUUUUAAAUGUGAGCAAAUGUA
This is a long non-coding RNA of Canis lupus familiaris (dog), 1384 nucleotides long. RefSeq lists it as uncharacterized. NCBI's taxonomy places the organism in Eukaryota, Metazoa, Chordata, Mammalia, Carnivora, Canidae. The transcript has 3 exons. The record is from RefSeq and is a predicted model, not a curated record.